CCUUGAAGUGUCUGUGGAAGAUGGAGAUACUGUCUAGAUACAAGCUUCAUUAGAAGCAUCACAACAGCUGGCCUUGGAGUUAGAGUAAGUAAAUACUCUCCUUGUGAGGAGCAUCCCUUGGCUUGCUGCUGGACCCUGAAGAAGACAGAAUGUCUGACCAUGGACCACCGAGUGACCAUGUGACCUGAGCUGUCCAUCCUGAACUGAGUUUUAUCUAACCCCUUCACAUAAAGCCAAACAUGCCCAGCAGUUCCCCACAUCAAAUGGAAGAAGAAAUGUAUUCCAGCCAACUCACUGGUGAAGGGGAGAAAAAACAAGCCUGGUUUAAGGAUAAUGCUGCAAAGUAUAUUAGCAUCAGCUAGAAGCAGACUCUGAAGUUACAGCUCGCAUCUCACCCACCUGCAAGUGGCCUCGAAGAGACAGUGGAAAAGAUUUUACCUGUCUACUUUACCUUGAAGGAGAUAUGACCUGAUUAGAAGGAAACAUGAUGUCUAGAGCUCAAGAAGCUAUCUUGGAUCAAGGGAUGAGGAUCACACCUAAAGAAGAAGAGGCAGUGAUAGCCCUGAAUGAUGAACUUAAUCCAGACUCACAUGAUGGAAAAAGAUUAAUGGAAUGACUCCAUGGUCAGAGCUCUGGUCGGAAGAAGAUUUGAAGAUUGCAGACAAAGAGAUGUAGGGAUAAGCUGUGGACUAUUGAGAUGGGAUCACCACAGAAUUAGAGAAAUAAUGGACCCUAUCGAGAAAUCCUGAUCCAGAAUCUGGUUACUAUCACCAAUGUGAUUGGAGUUGUUCUUCCUCAGGAGACAGAACGAAGGAGAGCCUAGAAAGUUCGGUGAAUGGCCAGUGCCACCAAAUGAAGCCAAGCCAAGAAGCAAGGCAUCACGACUCUAUCAUCCCUCAGUAGGAUAUGUCUUAUUGUGUUAUCAUACAUUGUUAUUAAGAACUUUGGAGAUUUUUGUUCUGAGCCUGAAGUGUGUGGAGGUGUUACUCGGUGAUUGUUUAGUAUUUGACCUAAUUUUCUAAAUUUUCUAUAUUCAGCCUUUUAUCAAGUAAGUCUUUUUUUUAAAUCUACACAUCUUAUUUUUCAGGAAUAAUGGUUUUAAUUGGGUUAUAUUUCUAUUUGGUUUAUCCUCCUAAUGAAUCACUCAUUCUUAAAAGUUCCUGUGUUUCCUAGUGUCAUCAUGAGUAGACACUCUUCUAUUUCUCAACGAGAGUUAUUUUUAAGCUGCCAGAGCCACGAAGAUCAAACGGAGGCUUUGGCUGACACAUCUUUUACAUGACUAGUUACUGGACUUUGGGGAAAGAUUCACAUUGUGUAAAAUUUGCAUUUGGGAAGCCGUAGACAUAUUUUCGUCAUGGAAAAUCCAGGGGGCCUCUUGUUUCAUUCAGCUAUUCAAAGAUGAUGAAGCAAAAUAAUAGAUUGUUUUCUCCUUCUUUUGAACAAGGAAGAACCAUGAAGACCCAGUUAAAAAACAAGAAAAAUAAAAAACAAAUUGCAAUAUCCAAAAGGCAUUCUGUAUCAUGGAAGAAACUUUGCCCACACAGUGUGCAGAGCCUCAGGGCUUGGGCAACCCUAAAACCUCAGAUGCACACUGACCCCGCCUGGACGUUGCUGUAAACUGGGAAAGCGCACUGUAAACUGGGAAAGAGCAUAGGCAUAGAAUUGGGACCCCAGGCAGCUUUGGAAUGUUUAUGGUUAAGAAGAGAAAGAAGGCGUUCUAAAAUGUACCCGGGAUUUGUGUUAAUCAGGUAUGGUGAAGUGACAACUGCCUUUGAAAGAAGAGUUUAUUGCUUACAUUUCCCAAGACAAGGAGGCUUGACACACCACGCAGGGCCGCGUCGGGAAGCACCGAAGUCGCUGGUCAGGAGGCAGAAGGAGAGAAGGAAAAAGUAUGGCCAGAGACUUUAUUGUGGUUUCUGAGGGAAGGAAUGGGUGAGGCAGGGUUGGCAAGUUUGAACAAGCGUGGAAUUGAAUCAUUUGAAUAAUUUGUUGGGCUAUGGGCUGUUGGAGUGGUCUCCAGUUGUCCAGUAUCUGAUUUUGAGGGCAAGGAAACUGGUUUGGUGUGUGAGUUAAACAAAGGAGGUGGCCAGGGACAGGGUCUUCGGAUGGGUUAGUGUUCAUACGAAAGUUAAGCUCAUGGAAAAGUUGUUUGCUAUCUCUAGGAAGCAGCUCUUCCUCGAGGGGCAAUCUCUCCUAAGCCAGCAAGGGCUGCCAGAGAUGUCAAAGCAAAUAAAGAUCAUGAUUAAUACAAAAGGCAACUAUUAGGCCAGUUGUUCUUUGGUGGAGUUAACCCAAAACAAAUUAUCAUUGUAGAACUGCUCUUUGAUAUUCAUUAAGUCUUACGGAAAAAAAAAAAAGAGGAAAUCUAUACAAUCUCUGGAUUUUAUAUGUGGUUCUGUUCCAAACAUUGAUCAAUGCUGGUAGAAUAUAUUACUGAACUAAUCACCUAAAUCACAGAAGUAUAAUUAAGUUCAGGAGGUUUUACAUUAUCGUAAGGAUAGAUGGAUGCUUUAGCCUCCUCCUCCCCAAUUUAGAAUGUAUAUAUGGAUCGAGAGGCAGACAUUGGAAUGAGGCUGCCACCAACCAAGGAACGCCUGGAACCACCAGGGCUAUAAAAGGCAGAGAAGGAUCCUCUCCCUACAGCCUUCAGAGGGAGCAUGGUCCUGCUGACACUUUGAUUUUGGACUUCUAGCCUCCUGAACUGUGAGAGAAUAAAUUUCUGUGUCUUAAGCCAAAAAAAAAAAAAAACUGUACAUAUUUCUUUCUGCAUUAAUAUUUUUUAUUUAAAGGUAUAUUACUUUUCCAAUAGCAGUUUUCCUUCUUUUCUAGGCUGUGGUUUAGCUGAAUAGAAUAAAAAUUAAAAUGUGUUUAUCAGCAAAGCCUAUCAGAGUAGCUAGAAAUUGAAAACAAUCUAAAUACCCAAAGCUAAGAGAUUAAGUAAAUCAUGAGAUAUCCAUACAAUGAAACAGGUAUUUAAAAUAAUGUUGCUGGGCUUCCCUGGUGGCGCAGUGGUUGAGAGUCCGCCUGCUGAUGCAGGGGACACAGGGUCGUGCCCCGGUCCAGGAAGAUCCCACAUGCCGCGGAGCGGCUGGGCCCGUGAGCCAUGGCCGCUGAGCCUGCGCAUCCGGAACCGGUGCUCCGCAACGGGAGAGGCCACAACAGUGAGAGGCCCGCGUACCGCAAAAAAAAAUAAAAUAAAAUAAAAUAAUGUUGCUGAAGAACACUGAAUAUUUUCAAUGUACUUAAUGAAAAAUGUAAGUUACAAAAUUCUGUGUUCUAUGUGAUCUGCUUUUCUGAAAAAAAAAAAAAGUAUUUACAUGCAUUAAAAAAAAAAAGGCUGGAGGAUACACAGAAUAUGCACCAAGAUGGGAUCCACCAUAGAUAUGGGCUGUGAGAUUAUAGUUGAUUUAUUUUCUUCUUUCUCCAUAUUUAUAUUCUUAAAAUUUCUAUAAUAAGUAUGUAUUAUUUUAUAAAAAUGAGAAAAUAAUGGGAAAAGAUGAGGCGAUAAAAAUACUUAUUUUUGUUGUUAUUUUAUUACACUGGAGUUUCUUUUCCCAAAGAAAUUUUCUCCUACUGCUGGUUCUGCUGGGUCACAAGGCUCCAGUGGCAGGGCAGCCAGGGUCAGCUGGGGUCGGAGCCUAGACCUUCUGCAGAGCCAUUUCUUAUUCCUGGUCCCAUUCAAAACUGUUGCCCUAUGGGAUAUGCCUCCAAAAUCCACAGAAGCUCACCAGUUCUUAUUGGGGAGCAAGGCGUGGUGCAACAACACGUCUCUCACUGUAGAAAGAACAUCCCCAAAUACCCAGAUCACUGGACUCUAGAAAUUCACCAAGAUGGCAAAGCCCUAAUCUUUCUCAGGGUUUAUUUUUCAUGCUGGGGCAUGCAAAGGCAUCAAAAGAAUUUUCUACUUCCUGAUCACCAAGUCCCAUUAGCAUAAUUCCAACUACUAUGGGAAUAUCAAAAUGACCACUAUUUCUCCAAACUAUACUGUGAUAGCAAGAGAACUGACAUAUACGGGAUGGGAUAUAUAUUCCAAACACCUUGGACAAUACACCAUGCUGCCGUACCAUGGCUGAGUCUAGCCAGCACGUGAAAUCUGGAAUCCUGUAAGAAUGCUCCAAUGUAAUAAAUUCAGGCCAAAAGAGCCUUAAAUGUUGUCUUAUUUGGUCUAACACCUUUAGAAUCCACUCUCAUGUGUGUUCCUCAGACUCUUGCCAAGCCUGAUCAGUGACAUCUUGUAACUCUGUAUAAACUCUCUCUUCCAAGACUGGCCUUUGUGCAUCUCCUUCAGGGCUCUGUUGGAUUUUAACUCUUGUUACAGGCCUCAAGGCAAUAAGUGGUAACAUUAGUUUGGGAGGCAAGCACCAGAUGUUUCCAUUUUAAAGGCUUUUAGCAGAGGAAGGCUUGUUCCCUCGGAGAGGGGUGAGGUUUUCUCUGCUGGCAAGGGAGUCGAGGGGAAUUUACAGGUUCCAAGUUCUCAGCCUUGUCCUAAUGUCUUCAAGCCGUGGCUCCUGUACCACUCGAGCCGCACCAGUGCCCUUACCCUAGGCUAAGAAGCCUAGCAAUUUAAGCCUUUAAUUGACUUACAACUCUUCAUCCUUUACCCCUCAGCUGUAUCAACCCUGAAGUUAGAAGGGAUGGAGAAUUCCUUCAAAGCUGUGUGGAGGCCUUCUGGUUCCCUAUGAGUAUUCUUAAGUCUAUGAUCAUAGCUUUUCAUUUCUUUCGUACUGUCUAGGGUUCUCAGAAGCCAAGUGACUCCACAGUCUUUACAAACACUACUGUCACUAUAGCAACUAAGUCCCACGGCCACUUGAUCUCCCCAUGCCUUUCCUGCCACCUGCACUUCACUCCUGGAUACCACGCAGCGAAGACUGGAAUAGUCACGAUGCCACUCCAGGCCACGGACUACCCACGGCCCAUACUCCCCUGGCCCCUGUCAAGGAAGUAAUCUCUGUGCUUCUUGAACAUACGCACAACCCAAUCCCAAAAUCUGUUUCAAGGAUCUGUUUUCUAUGUAUAAAGUGAACGAAUAUAAAUUUUAACUGGGUUUGUCCCUUAGUUCAAUAAUCCCACAUAGAACGCCAGAAUUAAACACAGAUGGCAACUGUCCCGCCAUCUUACAUGGGCUGGAUCAUAUUACAUCACUUUUCAGUCUAAAAUCUCGAAUCUGUCAUUCCCCGGCUAAUGUCUCUUCUCUCUCCAUGCUCACUUGACUAUUAAUUAAGCAUUUCCUUGGGGGUACUUAAUUCCUUGCUUUCUACCUGAAAUAGAAUAUCAGUGUGCUGCUUCAAACAAAGUCAAUGCUUUUUCCAAGAAGAAUAUGAGUGGAUUUAAUUUCUUUUGUUAUUUUUGCAGCCCCAGCAUGUAGCUCAACUGUGGCCUCAUCAAACGACCUCUUAUGAUAUCAAAAUUAUCAUAAAAAUAAUCUUUAUGUUUUGAAUGUUUACUAUAUGGUUUAUAUACCUUGUCUCAUUUAAUCUUCACAUCAAUUCCAUGUGGUAUACACCAUUUUAAUCCCCCAUUUAUCCAUGAAGAAACUGAGGCUUAGAGAGUUUAACAUAAGUAACAUGCUCAAGGUCACACAGCUGGUAAGUGAAAGAACCAGCUCUUUGACACUAAAGCCACAAGCCUCCAUGGCUUCUUUCAGUAGUGUUUAUAGAAUGAAUAGCCAGAUGAGGAGCCCCAGUAACUGUUAUCCAUAGCAUUUCCACAUUAUUUUACUGACCCCGAACAAAAAUGGAAUUAUCACUAACCCUUUAUAUCCGACUUCACUCUUACAUCCCCAUCAAUGGUUGCUUGUUAAAGAGAAACCAACUCUGGCUAAAUUUACCAAAAAUAAAGGGAUUUGUUGAAAGGUCAGGUUAGUCCACAGAAUUUAAGCAACAGCUGACCAGCAAAUCUUGGAAAGGACAGAAUCCAGGCAAAGCCAGGGAAUAAGGUAACAGGAAGUAGUAGACAGACUCUUGGGGCCUCCACCAUUGGGAUGAAUCAGCUUCAACUAUUUUCAGUCCUUGUGUCACUCUGCUUCAAGCCUCAAAUUCCAGGAAGAGUAUGACUGACAUCAUCUGGAUCUUCUGUCCAGCCCUACGCCAGGGGAUGGGGGUGGAGGAAGGAUGGGGCACUGUGAUUGGCAGCUCCACCAAGACUGCAUUCCAGAAAGGAAAACAGGGGAAGUAACCAAAAGAAGGCUUCGCGGGUGCUAGACAAGCGAAUGCAAAAGGUCUGCUGCAAUGACUUCAACA
Long non-coding RNA from Physeter macrocephalus (sperm whale), 6239 nucleotides. RefSeq lists it as uncharacterized. The record is from RefSeq and is a predicted model, not a curated record. Lineage: Eukaryota; Metazoa; Chordata; Mammalia; Artiodactyla; Physeteridae. The transcript is spliced from 6 exons.